RNA transcript from Sorghum bicolor (sorghum), 2179 nucleotides. It is a transcript of the gene named probable serine/threonine-protein kinase DDB_G0267686, with no coding region annotated. The record is from RefSeq and is a predicted model, not a curated record. The transcript is spliced from 6 exons. NCBI's taxonomy places the organism in Eukaryota, Viridiplantae, Streptophyta, Magnoliopsida, Poales, Poaceae.
CUCUCUCUCCCUCUCUCCCUCUCUCUUUCUCUUCCUGCACCUCAUUCCCUCUCUCUGAACCUCUCCUCACCCCUAUUUUCAUGUUAGGGUUCGGCGGCGCGGCGCUUGAUUAGGGAACGACAAGUUGUUGCGUGCUAUCUUCGCGCUUGGGUUCGGCGGCGCGACGCUUGAAUUCAGAACGACAAGUUGCUGCGUGCUUCUGCGCGCUUUGAUGGGGUCAAAAGUGUUAAGGAAGCGAAACCGGGACAAAGUUGAGAAUGAGGAGCAGAGUGUAAAGCAUAAGAACAGAAUUGAGAACAAGGAAGAGGAGCAGAGUGUAAAGCAUAAGGACAAAGUUGAGAACAAGGAAGAGGAGCAGAGUGUAAAGUAUAAGAAAUCUAAGGAUCAUGACUAUAGCAAAAGGAGAAAGGCCUGCAGAGAAGAUUACCACAGCUUGGGGCACCACGAACAUAUUGGGCAAACGAGCCAUGACACCAGCCGCACCAAGACUAGGGAAGACAACCAGCACACAUUGACAGACAAUUCAAAAAACAAAGAUAGAUCACACCGGAGCCACAACAGAGGUAAGAGCCAUGGACAGCAUUGUGACAACAGAAGAAAACACGACACUUUCUGGAGGCAGGAGGAGUUCAGGAACAGCACAAGGGCAGGCGACAUCCGUAAUGAGAGAAGCACAGAUUGGUGGAGUGACAGAUGGUGCCCCGAAAAGCCAAUGCCACAGAGAGGUGACACCAAGGGGAUGGGGCUCAGGACAAUGAAUGAUAACACCUUUGAGCACACCUUUGAGCAUAUCACCACUGACUGGAGCCUAGAUAGAUGGUGUCCAAAACCAGAAAGACAUGAGAAGGAAGACCAAUGGCCAAGUUACAACAAAGAGACUGACAAGAUGCAGAAGCAGCAGCAAUCAAUAAAUGUGUACAGACACAAAGGAGCUGCUGCCAUUCAGGUUGAAAGAUGACAAAUGCCCUGUGUAUCACUCAAUCUAAAAAAAGUUCAGCUCAAGGCAGGCAAUUGGCAGAGAAGAGUCUUACCCUAUCAGAACUGGAGUACUCAACAGAAUAUGAUUCCAGAGUUCAUGGAUGGAGGAAAGGCAAUCCAGAUUAUGUCCGUAAGGAACCUGUGACCAAAGUUUACACGAAGCAAAUACCUUAGAUGAGGAGUUGGAAUUGGAGCAAUUGCUGGUGACAGUUGGAAUUUGAGCACAAAUUGCUGACACAAAUGACAGACUGAAGAUGGGGAACUGCUCUUUUUUCCUGUUCUGCCUUUGAACUUUAUAAUCUUGUUGCUAGUUUAAAAGUCGGUUUGUUGGUUGCUUCCACCGGAACUUCAGGAGACCACCAGAACCCCAGCUCGUUUAGUUCCAGGUCUUACCGUACUCUCACGUCUGCCUCUUAUAAGGCUGAUACAAUACUGAUCUGUGGAGAUUUUCCUUAGAAGAGGUCUGGUAAGCUUUGGUUUUCUUGUGACAAGUGUUUCACUAAGUCAGGUGGAGGGAGAGCUGGCAGUUGUAAAGUAGGAUUCAUCAGUUUCACCUGCUUUUCUAUGUUAACAGAACAGAUUGAAACUUUGUGAGGUGUGUUGAAGGGUUUCUGAAAGGUAAAAAGGGUUAGUUUGCUGCUGCCAUUGUUGGAUUUGAAGGGAGGAAGGUUGAAACUUCCAUUGAGGUUUGUAGGCCUGAAAAUCUUGAGCUUGAAAGUUGAAGACACCUACCAUUUGGGUUGAGAUGGGCACCAUUAAACUGUGCUGCACUUGGUUCGAUGAGAAAGAAGGAUUAUUCAUUCCCUCAUCAGCUUUCCCUUUUUCCCCUUGAGCGGAUUUUUCACCAGCCCCUUCUGGAGUUAGCUUGCUAAAUUCCAUACAAUCAUCCCUUGGUGCAUUGUUUGUUGAAGUCUGGUUGUUCGGAACAAGCAUUAAUUGCAAGUUGCCUGCUUGACGAUUUGAAAUCCUAAAUCCCAAUUGAGAAGAUGCUAAUGGGCUCAAAGAACCUGUUGAUUUUCUGAAAGAAAUCUCUGAAAGAUUGAAUAUAUGUAUUGUGAGACUUAUUUUCUUGUUCCUCCCUAGCUUCCAUGGGAAUUUCUUGUUCUUGAGUUCUCCAUUUACCAUAAACAUCAUGAGAAACUUUGGUCGCAAAUCUUCAAAGUUUCUCAUAAUACACAUAGACUUUGAUUUUGUUUUCUGG